GGGGAAUCUUGCGCAAUGGGCGAAAGCCUGACGCAGCGACGCCGCGUGGGGGAAGAAGGCUUUCGGGUUGUAAACCCCUUUCAGGAAGGACGAAGCCACUCGGGUGAAUAGCCCAGAGGGUGACGGUACUUCCAGAAGAAGCCCCGGCUAACUCCGUGCCAGCAGCCGCGGUAAUACGGAGGGUGCAAGCGUUAUCCGGAUUCACUGGGUUUAAAGGGUGCGUAGGUGGGAAUGUAAGUCAGUGGUGAAAUCUCCGUGCUUAACAUGGAAACUGCCAUUGAUACUAUGUUUCUUGAAUUUUCUGGAGGUAAGCGGAAUAUGUCAUGUAGCGGUGAAAUGCUUAGAUAUGACAUAGAACACCAAUUGCGAAGGCAGCUUGCUACAGGGAUAUUGACACUGAGGCACGAAAGCGUGGGGAUCAAAC
RNAcentral lists this ribosomal RNA (424 nucleotides) under uncultured bacterium. RNAcentral describes it as "bacterial SSU rRNA". It matches the Rfam family "Bacterial small subunit ribosomal RNA", at positions 356 to 773 of the family's 1533-position model. The record is from RNAcentral.